GAUGAACGCUGGCGGCGUGCCUAAUACAUGCAAGUCGAGCGAACAGAUGAGGAGCUUGCUCCUCUGACGUUAGCGGCGGACGGGUGAGUAACACGUGGAUAACCUACCUAUAAGACUGGGAUAACUUCGGGAAACCGGAGCUAAUACCGGAUAAUAUAUUGAACCGCAUGGUUCAAUAGUGAAAGACGGUUUUGCUGUCACUUAUAGAUGGAUCCGCGCCGCAUUAGCUAGUUGGUAAGAUAACGGCUUACCAAGGCAACGAUGCGUAGCCGACCUGAGAGGGUGAUCGGCCACACUGGAACUGAGACACGGUCCAGACUCCUACGGGAGGCAGCAGUAGGGAAUCUUCCGCAAUGGGCGAAAGCCUGACGGAGCAACGCCGCGUGAGUGAUGAAGGUCUUCGGAUCGUAAAACUCUGUUAUUAGGGAAGAACAAAUGUGUAAGUAACUAUGCACGUCUUGACGGUACCUAAUCAGAAAGCCACGGCUAACUACGU
This 496-nucleotide ribosomal RNA is filed under the name uncultured bacterium. Its description in RNAcentral is "partial 16S ribosomal RNA". It matches the Rfam family "Bacterial small subunit ribosomal RNA", at positions 28 to 506 of the family's 1533-position model. The record is from RNAcentral.